RNAcentral lists this ribosomal RNA (675 nucleotides) under uncultured Pezizales. RNAcentral's name for it is "eukaryotic LSU rRNA". The stretch from base 290 to 443 matches the Rfam family "5.8S ribosomal RNA". Lineage: Eukaryota; Fungi; Ascomycota; Pezizomycetes; Pezizales. The record is from RNAcentral.
GAAGGAUCAUUACUAGAACAGAUUCAAGCAACCUGCAAAGGCGAGGGGGGGGUGAACGUCUACCUACGCCCCAGGGCGCGGAAGCUCGCCCGGCCGCCCGGCGGCGAUCAACUACCGCGCCGCCCCCGCCGAUCCCCGAACCCCACUCUCUGCGUACACAUCCCUGUUGCUUCCCCGGGGAGAGCCCCGGGGGAGGUCCCCGAGCAGACAAUGCGGACCAACCCUCCCGAGGCCCCUCCGUCUGAAGGCCAGCGCGCCAAAGGAAGCAGGAACGAGCGAGUGAACGAAAAACUUUCAACAACGGAUCUCUUGGUUCCCGCAUCGAUGAAGAACGCAGCGAAAUGCGAUAAGUAAUGUGAAUUGCAGAAUUCAGUGAAUCAUCGAAUCUUUGAACGCACAUUGCGCCCCCUGGCAUUCCGGGGGGCAUGCCUGUUCGAGCGUCUCCAGGACGAAUCCUCGCGCGAGUGAACGCGCGGUCGUGGCGGAGGUGGCGUGCCCGAGCAGGGCGGCCACCGCGCUGGAAUCCAUGGGCGGACGCCUGCCGCGUGGCCGAGCGUGAUAUGACGCAUUGGCGCUCGUGCGCGGCGAGGCUGCCAGCCCUGGCCCGUCUGUCGGGCGGGGUAGAUCAACACGUGGGAACUCCUCGAAUCAGGUAGGGAUACCCGCUGAACUUAA